RNA transcript from Bombus terrestris (buff-tailed bumblebee), 1732 nucleotides. RefSeq lists it as uncharacterized. The transcript is spliced from 3 exons. NCBI's taxonomy places the organism in Eukaryota, Metazoa, Arthropoda, Insecta, Hymenoptera, Apidae. The record is from RefSeq and is a predicted model, not a curated record.
GCUCGCUUAACUUUCAUCGACACAUCGAUAACUUUGCGUUCCAAGAUGUUAUUACGCCCUAGAAUCCCUAACAUAAUUUUAGAACCAGAAUUUCUGUGCAAGACAAUUCCGUCGCUUUGUCACGCUUAACGGCUCAAUCAUCGAAACAUGUAUCAUAACGCACGAAUUAUGAUAAAAAAGAAACUGUCUUUCGAAUAAAAGCAAUCCGUUUCCCAGAUGCGCUUAAGGAUGUACUGGACGUCGACGGAGCAAGUGUACGAAAUACAGCCGCUGGAGGGUAACAGUUCCGCUCAACGUUACACUCAACAGCCGAAACAACGAUUCUCUGAAAUGCCUACUCCGUCGGUUUCGCCGACGUCUUCUCUCCGAAAGCGCGUCUCGGAACUGCCAAGAGCCGCGAGAGCACCCGUUUUCGGUGCUGCGGGCAUGGUCUGCUCUAAUAGGGAUCUGAUAUCGAUCCUAAGCUCGGUAGGGUCUUCCGCGACGGAAAUGUCGAAGAAGCCGGAAGAUUUAGCAACGGCCAGUUCAAGUCUUAGGUUCGAUGAAUUGAAGGUAGUGAAGGCGGUGAAGAAAAUGUUCGGUAAAAAGUCCCCUAAUAGCGAGGUCGUAUGGGACAACACUAGUGGAACCAAAGUGGACGCUCAGGUGAAACGUGGAGAAGAUAAUUUGCAAUCAUUGCGGACAAUAUCGCAGUGACAUUAUUAUCAAUCGGUAAUAUUAAAGAUAAAAUUCAUAUGGGAUGAAAACAGAGCGUCAAAAGUGGUUAUUUGUCGAUCUUCUUGCGAAGGGAAAAUUCCUGCAAAAUGUUUAAGAACGGCUCUCAACAAGGAAUAAAAAAUGUUAUUACAGUUCCAUUUUCGUGUUCGUUUUUUUUCUACAUGAUCCAUGUGAAAUAAUUCUUCAGAUGCUCUGCUGGUAAAUGAAUCGACGUUUGUAAUAGAGGAAAUAUGAAGUACAGCGAGAUCGUUGUUGGCUAUUGUUCUACACCGAUAUCGACAAAAUAAUUCUUCGACAACUCUAUUGAUAAGUCAAUUGUAGUUUGAAAUCAAACGAAUCUGAAGUACUAUCAGUUCGUUGCUACGAGAACAAUAGCCACCAACGAUCUCGCAGUAAUUCGGAUUCGUUCGAUUUUAAACUUCAAUUGUUUUACCGACAGAAUCUCUGAAUAAUUAUUUUGCUGGUAAAUUCUGUUGGUAUAUCGAUUAGAGUUUGGAAUCAAGCAAAUACGAAGUACAAGAUGGCUAUUGUUCUCACGUAGCAACAGUCUGAUAGUAUUUCAGAUUCGCUUGAUUUCAAACUUAGUUCCCUUGGUUUAAUUACUGAUUUAUCAGCUGGAUCAAAAUUUAAAGAAAAUGAAGAUCAAGUGUAGCGCGUAUUUGGUAGCGCAAUUGAGAAGAUGUUAACGGCGCAAAAGGGAAACGAUACGGGGGCUUCCGGGUCGAGCGGAAAGCCCUCGGUAUCUCCGAACAAACCAAUGUCAGGCAAAGUGACAAAUUGGUUUUCAAAUACCAAGAAUCAAAAUCGGAAUCAGACGGAAUCCAGCGAACCGUCUCUCUGUUCUUCCCUAAAGGACCUAUUCAAGAAGUAAUGGGGAAGAACAAAUGCUAAUAAAUGUUAAGUGUCUCCAGUUUAAUUAACACUUCUUUAUCUAAGAAUUUCUUCCCUAAAAGACCUAUUCAUUAUGUAAUGUAGAAGCACAAAUACUAAUAAAUGCUAAGUUUCUCUCGUUUAA